Molecule: ribosomal RNA, 776 nt
Filed under: uncultured Spirulina sp.
Lineage: Bacteria; Bacillati; Cyanobacteriota; Cyanophyceae; Spirulinales; Spirulinaceae
Description: partial 16S ribosomal RNA
Rfam family: Bacterial small subunit ribosomal RNA
Source: RNAcentral
GAAUUCACUAGUGAUUAGAGUUUGAUCCUGGCUCAGGAUGAACGCUGGCGGUCUGCUUAACACAUGCAAGUCGAACGGGACCUUCGGGUCUAGUGGCGGACGGGUGAGUAAAGCGUGAGAAUCUGCCUCCAGGUCGGGGACAACAGUGGGAAACUGCUGCUAAUCCCGGAUGAGCCUAAGGGUAAAAGAUUUAUUGCCUGGAGAGGAGCUCGCGUCCGAUUAGCUAGUUGGUGAGGUAAGAGCUCACCAAGGCAACGAUCGGUAGCUGGUCUGAGAGGACGAUCAGCCACACUGGGACUGAGACACGGCCCAGACUCCUACGGGAGGCAGCAGUGGGGAAUUUUCCGCAAUGGGCGAAAGCCUGACGGAGCAAGACCGCGUGCGGGAGGAAGGCCCUUGGGUCGUAAACCGCUUUUCUUAGGGAAGAAGCUCUGACGGUACCUAAGGAAUCAGCCUCGGCUAACUCCGUGCCAGCAGCCGCGGUAAUACGGAGGAGGCAAGCGUUAUCCGAAAUUAUUGGGCGUAAAGCGUCCGCAGGCGGCUUCUCAAGUCUGCUGUCAAAGACCAGAGCUCAACUCUGGGCCGGCAGUGGAAACUGAGAAGCUAGAGUACAGUAGGGGUAGAGGGAAUUCCCAGUGUAGCGGUGAAAUGCGUAGAGAUUGGGAAGAACACCGGUGGCGAAAGCGCUCUACUGGGCUGUAACUGACGCUGAGGGACGAAAGCUAGGGUAGCGAAAGGGAUUAGAUACCCCUGUAGUCCUAGCUGUAAACGAUGAG